RNAcentral lists this ribosomal RNA (512 nucleotides) under Bombyx mori (domestic silkworm). RNAcentral describes it as "partial large subunit ribosomal RNA". The stretch from base 389 to 512 matches the Rfam family "Bacterial large subunit ribosomal RNA", at positions 2473 to 2597 of the family's 2925-position model. Lineage: Eukaryota; Metazoa; Arthropoda; Insecta; Lepidoptera; Bombycidae. The record is from RNAcentral.
GUCUUUUUGUUAAUAAUUUAAAGUCUAAUCUGCCCACUGAUAUAUUUAUUAAAGGGCUGCAGUAUUUUGACUGUACAAAGGUAGCAUAAUCAUUAGUCUUUUAAUUGGUGACUUGUAUGAAAGAUUGGAUGAAAUAUAAACUGUCUCUUUUAUAAAAAAAAAAUUGAAUUUAAUUUUUUAAUUAAAAAGUUAAAAUUAUUUAAAAAGACGAGAAGACCCUAUAGAGUUUUAUAAUUUAUUUUGUAAAUAUUUUUAUUUUUAUAUUUUUAUAAUUUUAAAUUAUUUUGUUGGGGUGAUAAAGAAAUUUAAUUAACUUUUUUUAAUAGUUUACAUUAAUAAGUGAUUAAAUGAUCCAAUUUUAUUGAUUAAAAGAAAAAAUUACCUUAGGGAUAACAGCGUAAUUUUUUUUUUUAGUUCAAAUAAAAAGAAAAGUUUGCGACCUCGAUGUUGGAUUAAGAUAAAAUUUAAAUGUAGAAGUUUAAAAUUUUGAUCUGUUCGAUCAUUAAAAUCUU